GGUUCUCUCCGAAAUAGCUUUAGGGCUAGCCUCAAGUGAUGAUUAUUGGAGGUAGAGCACUGUUUGGACGAGGGGCCCCUCUCGGGUUACCGAAUUCAGACAAACUCCGAAUGCCAAUUAAUUUAACUUGGGAGUCAGAACAUGGGUGAUAAGGUCCGUGUUCGAAAGGGAAACAGCCCAGACCACCAGCCAAGGUCCCAAAAUAUAUGUUAAGUGGAAAAGGAUGUGGCGUUGCCCAGACAACUAGGAUGUUGGCUUAGAAGCAGCCAUCAUUUAAAGAGUGCGUAAUAGCUCACUAGUCGAGUGACACUGCGCCGAAAAUGUACCGGGGCUAAACAUAUUACCGAAGCUGUGGAUUGUCCUUUGGACAAUGGUAGGAGAGCGUUCUAAGGGCGUUGAAGCAUGAUCGCAAGGACAUGUGGAGCGCUUAGAAGUGAGAAUGCCGGUGUGAGUAGCGAAAGACGGGUGAGAAUCCCGUCCACCGAUUGACUAAGGUUUCCAGAGGAAGGCUCGUCCGCUCUGGGUUAGUCGGGUCCUAAGCUGAGGCCGACAGGCGUAGGCGAUGAAUAACAGGUUGAUAUUCCUGUACCACCUAUAAUCGUUUUAAUCGAUGGGGGGACGCAGUAGGAUAGGCGAAGCGUACGAUUGGAUUGUACGUCUAAGCAGUGAGGUUGAGUGUUAGGCAAAUCCGGCACUCUUAAGAUUGAGCUGUGAUGGGGAGAGGAAAUUGUUUCCUCGAGUCGUUGAUUUCACACUGCCGAGAAAAGCCUCUAGAUAGAGAUUAGGUGCCCGUACCGC
This 798-nucleotide ribosomal RNA is filed under the name Staphylococcus hominis. Its description in RNAcentral is "bacterial LSU rRNA". It matches the Rfam family "Bacterial large subunit ribosomal RNA", at positions 851 to 1650 of the family's 2925-position model. The record is from RNAcentral. Lineage: Bacteria; Bacillati; Bacillota; Bacilli; Caryophanales; Staphylococcaceae.